CAGUCGCCGCGGUAAUACAGAGGGUGCAAGCGUUAAUCGGAAUUACUGGGCGUAAAGCGCGCGUAGGUGGUUUGUUAAGUUGGAUGUGAAAGCCCCGGGCUCAACCUGGGAACUGCAUCCAAAACUGGCAAGCUAGAGUACGGUAGAGGGUGGUGGAAUUUCCUGUGUAGCGGUGAAAUGCGUAGAUAUAGGAAGGAACACCAGUGGCGAAGGCGACCACCUGGACUGAUACUGACACUGAGGUGCGAAAGCGUGGGGAGCAAACAGGAUUAGAUACCCCGGUAGUCCCUGUCUCUUAUAU
RNAcentral lists this ribosomal RNA (301 nucleotides) under uncultured bacterium. RNAcentral's name for it is "partial 16S ribosomal RNA". It matches the Rfam family "Bacterial small subunit ribosomal RNA", at positions 509 to 809 of the family's 1533-position model. The record is from RNAcentral.